This 31-nucleotide non-coding RNA is filed under the name Rattus norvegicus (Norway rat). Lineage: Eukaryota; Metazoa; Chordata; Mammalia; Rodentia; Muridae. The record is from RNAcentral.
UAAUCUCUGAAUCUAAGAAGUAAGGACGGUU